GGGGAUAUAGAUCAGUAGUAGAAUGAAUUCAACUGUAGAUUGAGAGGUCUCCGGUUCAAACCCGGGAGUUCCCU
Molecule: non-coding RNA, 74 nt
Organism: Trichonephila inaurata madagascariensis
Lineage: Eukaryota; Metazoa; Arthropoda; Arachnida; Araneae; Nephilidae
Source: the annotation of a GenBank genome assembly